RNAcentral lists this ribosomal RNA (1382 nucleotides) under uncultured bacterium. RNAcentral describes it as "16S ribosomal RNA". It matches the Rfam family "Bacterial small subunit ribosomal RNA". The record is from RNAcentral.
UUCGCCCUUAGAGUUUGAUCCUGGCUCAGGACGAACGCUGGCGGCGUGCCUAACACAUGCAAGUCGAGCGAAUGAAGUUCCUCCGGGAACGGAUUUAGCGGCGGACGGGUGAGUAACACGUGGGCAACCUGCCUCAUAGAGGGGAAUAGCCUUCCGAAAGGGAGAUUAAUACCGCAUAAGAUUGUAGUACCGCAUGGUACAUCAAUUAAAGGAGCAAUCCGCUAUGAGAUGGGCCCGCGGCGCAUUAGCUAGUUGGUGAGGUAACGGCUCACCAAGGCGACGAUGCGUAGCCGACCUGAGAGGGUGAUCGGCCACAUUGGGACUGAGACACGGCCCAGACUCCUACGGGAGGCAGCAGUGGGGAAUAUUGCACAAUGGGGGAAACCCUGAUGCAGCAACGCCGCGUGAGUGAUGACGGCCUUCGGGUUGUAAAGCUCUGUCUUCAGGGACGAUAAUGACGGUACCUGAGGAGGAAGCCACGGCUAACUACGUGCCAGCAGCCGCGGUAAUACGUAGGUGGCGAGCGUUGUCCGGAUUUACUGGGCGUAAAGGGAGCGUAGGCGGAUUUUUAAGUGAGAUGUGAAAUACUCGGGCUUAACCUGAGUGCUGCAUUUCAAACUGGAAGUCUAGAGUGCAGGAGAGGAGAAGGGAAUUCCUAGUGUAGCGGUGAAAUGCGUAGAGAUUAGGAAGAACACCAGUGGCGAAGGCGCUUCUCUGGACUGUAACUGACGCUGAGGCUCGAAAGCGUGGGGAGCAAACAGGAUUAGAUACCCUGGUAGUCCACGCCGUAAACGAUGAAAAAUAGGGGUUGGGGGUUUUCAUGACCUCUGUGCCCCCUCAAACGCAUUAGUAAUUUCCCCCGGGGAGGACGUUGGCAAGAAUAAAAUCACAAGAAUUGACAGGGGGCCGCCCAAGCAGCGGAGCAUGUGGUUUAUUUGUUGCAACGCGAAGAACCCUACCUUGACGUGACAUCUCCUGCACUACUUCUUUAUCAAGGAAGUCCCUUCGGGGACAGGAUGACAGAUGGUGCAUGGUUGUCGUCAGCUCGUGUCUUGAGAUGUUGGGUUAAGUCCCGCAACGAGCGCACCCCUCAUUGUUAGUUGCCAUCAUUAAGUUGGGCACUCUAGCGAGACUGCCCGGGUUAACCGGGAGGAAGGUGGGGAUGACGUCAAAUCAUCAUGCCCCUUAUGUCUAGGGCUACACACGUGCUACAAUGGUCGGUACAAUAAGACGCAAGCCCGCGAGGGGGAGCAAAACUGGAAAACCGAUCUCAGUUCGGAUUGUAGGCUGAAACUCGCCUACAUGAAGCUGGAGUUGCUAGUAAUCGCGAAUCAGCAUGUCGCGGUGAAUAAGUUCCCGGGCCUUGUACACACCGCCCGUCA